CACUCGCUACAUUGCACGCAAACACACAUCCCAUGGACCUCUUCUCCUUCCCCUUCCUCUUCCUCGCCCUUCUCUUCCUCUUUCUCUAUGCCAAACAAAAAACCCCCAACAACCACAAAGGCUUCAAGGACUACCCUCUCCUCGGAACCCUACCGGACUUUCUCAAAAACCGACACCGCUUCCUCCAAUGGAGCACCCUAGUCCUCCGCGACUGCCCCACCCACACCGCCGUCUUCUCCCGCCCCUUCAAGUUCCGCGGCGUCAUAACGGCCAACCCUGACAACGUCCAACACAUGCUCAAAACCAACUUCCAGAACUACCCCAAGGGCCAACGCUUCAUCCACCUCCUCCAAGACUUCCUCGGCCAAGGAAUCUUCAACUCCGACGGACACCUCUGGAAGCUUCAACGCAAAAUCGCCAGCCACGAAUUCUCCACCAAAUCGCUCCGUAACUUCAUCGUCCACGCCGUCACGCUCGAACUCCAAACGAGGCUUCUUCCGAUUCUCGCCAAAACCUCCGAAUCAGAUAGCCUCCUCGAUUUGCAGGAUCUUUUAGAGAGAUUCGCCUUCGACAACGUCUGCAAGGUUGCCUUCAACGUCGACCCCGCCUGCCUCGGCGGUGACGGCACCGCCGACGCCGAGUUCAUGCGCGCGUUUGAGGACGCGGCGGUGCUCAGCUCAGGGAGGUUCAUGAGCGUUUUUCCCUUGGCGUGGAAGACGAAGAAGCUCUUCAACUUGGGAACGGAGCGGAGACUGAGAGAAUCAAUCACCACCGUUCACGAGUUCGCUGAUACAAUCAUACGGUCAAGAUUGAACAACUCCAAGGAGGAGGAACAUACGAUGGACCACCAAGAUUUACUCUCGCGCUUCAUCAGAAGCGAGGACCACACGCCGGAGUUUCUCCGCGACGUGGUGAUAAGCUUCAUUCUGGCGGGACGCGAUACGACGUCGUCCGCGCUGAGCUGGUUCUUCUGGAUUCUCUCUUCGAAACCCGACGUGCGGAGGAAGAUUCGCGAGGAAAUCGAAACGGUGCGUUUUGGUUUUGGCGAUGGCGCGUUCGGGUACGAGGAGUUGAAAGAGAUGCAUUACUUACAAGCGGCGAUUACCGAGACUAUGAGGCUGUACCCGCCAGUGCCGGUGGACACGAAGGCGUGCCUUGACGACGACGUUUUGCCGGAUGGGACUAGGGUUGGGAAGGGGUGGUUCAUUACUUACCACACGUACGCGAUGGGGAGAUUGGAGAGCGUGUGGGGGAAAGAUUGUACGGAGUUUAGGCCCGAGAGGUGGUUGGAGAACGGGGUUUGGCGUGGGGAAAGUCCGUUUCGGUUUCCGGUUUUCCAUGCGGGUCCUAGAAUGUGUUUGGGGAAGGACAUGGCUUAUAUUCAGAUGAAGUCGAUCGCUGCUUCGGUUAUGGAGAGGUUUGAGGUUGAGGCGGUGGAUAAGGACACGUGUCCCGAGCACGUCUUGUCUUUGACGCUGAGGAUCAAGGGAGGGUUGCCGGUGAGGGUAAGGGUGAGGGAUGCGUAACACAAGAUCAGAGGGGUCUAGGGCCAACACUUUUUUUCGUCUAGACAAAACUGCAUGUAAGAAGGGUACACAUAUACAGAGUACACCCAAUACUGACGGGUACGAAGAUGGGGACACAAAUUUCAUAUCCGUCGAGUAUGAGAACAUGAAUAGGUAUAAGGUACGAAAAUGAGAAUGAACACAAGGACGGAUAUAGAAAAACACGUAGUUGCCCCAUCCCAUUGCCAUCCCUAUGUAUGUGCUAGAGAAUUAGGUAUUAUUGUCAUAAUGCAUGAUUAUUUAAUAGAAGCAUUCACUGCAAAUACUAACUCAGCUCACUAUUGUUGAGAUAAUGGUCUAUUUCUUCUUAUACAUUGUGCAUGCAUGCAGUUAUAGAUAAACAAAAGAAUCAUGGUAUACACUUUUGUGUAAUAGCUAAAGUGUUACAUUUGUUUGGUGG
Molecule: non-coding RNA, 1965 nt
Organism: Cajanus cajan (pigeon pea)
Lineage: Eukaryota; Viridiplantae; Streptophyta; Magnoliopsida; Fabales; Fabaceae
Source: RefSeq, a predicted model, not a curated record